GGAGUUAGCCGGUGCUUCUUCUGUGAGUGAUGUCCUUCCUGCCGGCUAUUAACCCGCAGGCCUUCUUCCUCACUGAAAGUGCUUUACAACCCGAAGGCCUUCUUCACACACGCGGCAUUGCUGGAUCAGGGUUGCCCCCAUUGUCCAAUAUUCCCCACUGCUGCCUCCCGUAGGAGUCUGGGCCGUGUCUCAGUCCCAGUGUGGCUGAUCAUCCUCUCAGACCAGCUACGGAUCGUCGCCUUGGUGAGCCGUUACCUCACCAACCAGCUAAUCCGACAUAGGCUCAUCCGAUAGCGCGAGGCCCGAAGGUCCCCCGCUUUCCCCCGUAGGGCGUAUGCGGUAUUAGCCUGGGUUUCCCCAGGUUAUCCCCCACUACCGGGCAGAUUCCUAUGCAUUACUCACCCGUCCGCCGCUCGCCACCAGGGAGCAAGCUCCCCGUGCUGCCGCUCGACUUGCAUGUGUUAGGCCUGCCGCCAGCGUUCAAUCUGAGCCGAAUCAAACUCUGA
Molecule: ribosomal RNA, 506 nt
Filed under: uncultured bacterium
Lineage: Bacteria
Description: partial 16S ribosomal RNA
Source: RNAcentral